Molecule: long non-coding RNA, 672 nt
Organism: Bufo gargarizans (Asiatic toad)
Lineage: Eukaryota; Metazoa; Chordata; Amphibia; Anura; Bufonidae
Exons: 3
Source: RefSeq, a predicted model, not a curated record
UAUCUGCACCGUGCUAUGCAGAAUAUCACUUCAUUACAAAAUCAGUCUGGAUUUCUAUGCUGACCAAUGUAAUGUACUACAGCCGGUAUACAGCAUCUGCUGUGAGUGCAGCUUGUUGAAAAGUUAUGGAUUUACAAGCAGGGUCAUCAUCAGAAGUGUACUGGAGAUAGUGGCCCCAGAUAGAAUUAUUUUUUUUUUCAAAAAGUGUCCCGUUUGCUGACCUCUUGAUGUCCACCACAAUAUGAUUUCAGCAUGACCUUGUGUACAGAGGGGAGGAGGGGCAUCUAAAUCAAUUUUGGAGUCUGGUCAGGAGACGUGGGUGACAUAUAUGAAGAGGAGAAGGAGACUUUAUCCAGGCAUGCUGCAUAAAUGGAAGAUCUUAAAACCUGGAACCAUAAGUAGUCAGGUGUGUCAAUGGUCAAGCUUUGCACAAUCUACUUCCAUGGGUAGACCUUCUUCGUAUGGACACUAGGCUAUGAAGGAAAGAUCUUGUGGAGCCCAAGAGUGGACAGCGAAGCUAGGACUUUGGUUCAGUAUGCGGUGCCAGCCUCAUGCUUAGCCGUCAUGGUUGGGAAUGUGUCAUCCUUGCACUCCCGUGAAAAUAAUCAGGAUUAUUAAUUAGACGUUAUUUCCUGAGCCUGCGGUUCUACUGAUCAUAAAGAAUCAUCUGCA